AUUGAACGCUGGCGGCAGGCUUAACACAUGCAAGUCGAGCGGGGGAAGGUAGCUUGCUACCGGACCUAGCGGCGGACGGGUGAGUAAUGCUUAGGAAUCUGCCUAUUAGUGGGGGACAACAUCUCGAAAGGGAUGCUAAUACCGCAUACGUCCUACGAGAGAAAGCAGGGGAUCUUCGGACCUUGCGCUAAUAGAUGAGCCUAAGUCGGAUUAGCUAGUUGGUGGGGUGAAGGCCUACCAAGGCGACGAUCUGUAGCGGGUCUGAGAGGAUGAUCCGCCACACUGGGACUGAGACACGGCCCAGACUCCUACGGGAGGCAGCAGUGGGGAAUAUUGGACAAUGGGGGGAACCCUGAUCCAGCCAUACCGCGUGUGUGAAGAAGGCCUUAUGGUUGUAAAGCACUUUAAGCGAGGAGGAGGCUACUCUAGUUAAUACCUAGGGAUAGUGGACGUUACUCGCAGAAUAAGCACCGGCUAACUCUGUGCCAGCCGCCGCAGUAA
RNAcentral lists this ribosomal RNA (501 nucleotides) under uncultured bacterium. Its description in RNAcentral is "partial 16S ribosomal RNA". It matches the Rfam family "Bacterial small subunit ribosomal RNA", at positions 30 to 523 of the family's 1533-position model. The record is from RNAcentral.